Molecule: ribosomal RNA, 435 nt
Filed under: uncultured bacterium
Lineage: Bacteria
Description: partial 16S ribosomal RNA
Rfam family: Bacterial small subunit ribosomal RNA
Source: RNAcentral
AACGAACGCUGGCGGCAUGCCUAACACAUGCAAGUCGAACGAGAUCCUUCGGGGUCUAGUGGCGCACGGGUGCGUAACGCGUGGGAAUCUGCCCUUAGGUUCGGAAUAACAGUUAGAAAUGACUGCUAAUACCGGAUGAUGACGUUAAGUCCAAAGAUUUAUCGCCUGAGGAUGAGCCCGCGUAGGAUUAGCUAGUUGGUGUGGUAAAGGCGCACCAAGGCGACGAUCCUUAGCUGGUCUGAGAGGAUGAUCAGCCACACUGGGACUGAGACACGGCCCAGACUCCUCCGGGAGGGAGGAGGGGGGAAAAUGGGAAAAGGGGGGGAAGCCUGACCCAGCAAUGCCGGGGGAGUGAUGAAGGCCUUAGGGUUGUAAAGCUCUUUUACCCGGGAUGUUAAGGCCAGGCCCGGGAGAAAAAGCCCCGGCAACCUCCGG